RNAcentral lists this transfer RNA (75 nucleotides) under Streptomyces chartreusis. RNAcentral's name for it is "tRNA-Ala". It matches the Rfam family "tRNA". From Rfam's summary of the family: Transfer RNA (tRNA) molecules are approximately 80 nucleotides in length. Their secondary structure includes four short double-helical elements and three loops (D, anti-codon, and T loops). Lineage: Bacteria; Bacillati; Actinomycetota; Actinomycetes; Kitasatosporales; Streptomycetaceae. The record is from RNAcentral.
CGGGUCGAAGCUCAAGUGGUGGAGCACGGCAAAAGCGUUGCCUAGGUGCCGGUUCGACUCCGGCCGGCCCGACCA